RNAcentral lists this ribosomal RNA (511 nucleotides) under uncultured bacterium. RNAcentral's name for it is "bacterial SSU rRNA". It matches the Rfam family "Bacterial small subunit ribosomal RNA", at positions 15 to 518 of the family's 1533-position model. The record is from RNAcentral.
GAUCUUGGUCAGGAUGAACGCUAGCGACAGGCUAACACAUGCAAGGUCGAGGGGCAGCAUAAAAGUAGCAAUACUUGGUGGCGACCGGCGCACGGGUGAGUAACGCGUAUGCAACCUACCUAUCAGGAGGGGAAUAACCCGGCGAAAGUCGGACUAAUACCGCAUAAAACAGGGGCACCGCAUGGUGAUAUUUGUUAAAGAAAUUCGCUGAUAGAUGGGCAUGCGUUCCAUUAGGUAGUUGGUGAGGUAACGGCUCACCAAGCCGACGAUGGAUAGGGGAACUGAGAGGUUGGUCCCCCACACUGGUACUGAGACACGGACCAAACUCCUACGGGAGGCAGCAGUGAGGAAUAUUGGUCAAUGGGCGGGAGCCUGAACCAGCCAAGUCGCGUGAAGGAAAGAAGGAUCUAUGGUUCGUAAACUUCUUUUGCAGGGGAAUAAAGUGCAGGACGUGUCCUGUUUUGUAUGUACCCUGAGAAUAAGGAUCGGCUAACUCCGUGCCAGCAGCAGC